This 686-nucleotide ribosomal RNA is filed under the name Cellulomonas sp. ODP52803by0. Its description in RNAcentral is "SSU rRNA". It matches the Rfam family "Bacterial small subunit ribosomal RNA", at positions 800 to 1485 of the family's 1533-position model. Lineage: Bacteria; Bacillati; Actinomycetota; Actinomycetes; Micrococcales; Cellulomonadaceae. The record is from RNAcentral.
CCGUAAACGUUGGGCACUAGGUGUGGGUCCAUUCCACGGGCUUUGUGCCGCAGCAAACGCAUUAAGUGCCCCGCCUGGGGAGUACGGCCGCAAGGCUAAAACUCAAAGAAAUUGACGGGGGCCCGCACAAGCGGCGGAGCAUGCGGAUUAAUUCGAUGCAACGCGAAGAACCUUACCAAGGCUUGACAUACACCGGAAACUUCCAGAGAUGGUUGCCCCGCAAGGUCGGUGUACAGGUGGUGCAUGGUUGUCGUCAGCUCGUGUCGUGAGAUGUUGGGUUAAGUCCCGCAACGAGCGCAACCCUCGUCCCAUGUUGCCAGCGAGUCGUGUCGGGGACUCAUGGGAGACUGCCGGGGUCAACUCGGAGGAAGGUGGGGAUGACGUCAAAUCAUCAUGCCCCUUAUGUCUUGGGCUUCACGCAUGCUACAAUGGCCGGUACAAAGGGUUGCGAUGCCGUGAGGUGGAGCGAAUCCCAAAAAGCCGGUCUCAGUUCGGAUUGGGGUCUGCAACUCGACCCCAUGAAGUCGGAGUCGCUAGUAAUCGCAGAUCAGCAACGCUGCGGUGAAUACGUUCCCGGGCCUUGUACACACCGCCCGUCAAGUCACGAAAGUCGGUAACACCCGAAGCCGGUGGCCCAACCCUUGUGGGGGGAGCCGUCGAAGGUGGGACUGGCGAUUGGGACUUUU